GUGUGGAGGCUGGUAAAAUGGUAACUGGUGAAGUACUGACACUUCAUAAGCGAUUGUUAGCAAUGCUAAAUGAGGCAAGGUGGGUCAAACCAUGAAAUAUGUGAAUAAGGGGUGAAAGGAAGUAAUCUUCCAACUAGGAGAUUGGGUUUGGCUUCACUUGAAAAAGGAGAGGUUCCCUACUCAAAAGAAGUUCAAGCUCAACUCAAAAGGAGAUGGUCCCUUCCAAGUUGUGAGAAAGAUCAAUAACAAUGCUUACGAGUUAGAGUUACCUCCAAGCUAUAACAUGAGUCAUACUUUUAAAUGUUAGUGACCUUUCUCCUUUUGAUAUAGAUGUUGCAAAUGUGUGGUCGCAUUCUCUCUAAGAAGGGAAGGAUGAUGAGUCCAUGACUCCUCAUAAGGCUAAAUAGGUUCUUCCUAGGAGGAUCACUAGGAGCAUGACUAAAACGGAAACUCCUUGCUCACCUUGUUUGUUAGUGGCACCUUUAAGGUUCUCACUUUUUAGAAGAAUGAAAGGUCUAUUCCAAGGAAGUGUACUCAUCACACCCCUACUUUUUCUAAAAGGAUACUCUUGAGUCGAAAACAUCUUGAAAAAGGGAGACUAUAUGGAGGACUACACUUACAUGAAAAAAGAGAAAAGCACAAAUUUAAAGAUUUGAUGAGGCUCAUAAAAAACUUAGGCUGCACAUGGGGAAAGAAAAAAAAAACACCUUUUUGAA
Molecule: long non-coding RNA, 716 nt
Organism: Vigna radiata var. radiata (mung bean)
Lineage: Eukaryota; Viridiplantae; Streptophyta; Magnoliopsida; Fabales; Fabaceae
Exons: 3
Source: RefSeq, a predicted model, not a curated record